Molecule: small nuclear RNA, 136 nt
Organism: Cricetulus griseus (Chinese hamster)
Lineage: Eukaryota; Metazoa; Chordata; Mammalia; Rodentia; Cricetidae
Gene: U1
Rfam family: U1 spliceosomal RNA
About the family: U1 is a small nuclear RNA (snRNA) component of the spliceosome (involved in pre-mRNA splicing). Its 5' end forms complementary base pairs with the 5' splice junction, thus defining the 5' donor site of an intron. There are significant differences in sequence and secondary structure between metazoan and yeast U1 snRNAs, the latter being much longer (568 nucleotides as compared to 164 nucleotides in human).
Source: Ensembl
AGGCAGGCCUGGCAGGGGAGAUACCAUGAUUACGAAGGUGGUUUUCCCAUUGUAGUCUGAAUGUGGUGACCCCUGCGAUUUCUGACUCGACUGCAUAAUUUGUGGUAGUGGGGAACUGCAUUCAAGCUCUCCCCUG